Molecule: ribosomal RNA, 460 nt
Filed under: uncultured bacterium
Lineage: Bacteria
Description: partial 16S ribosomal RNA
Rfam family: Bacterial small subunit ribosomal RNA
Source: RNAcentral
CCUACGGGUGGCAGCAGUGAGGAAUAUUGGUCAAUGGGCGGAAGCCUGAACCAGCCAAGCCGCGUGAAGGACGAAGGCUCUAGGGAUUGUAAACUUCUUUUGUAAAGGAACAAAAUGAGGCACGAGAGCCUUAUGGAGGGUACUUUAUGAAUAAGCAUCGGCUAACUCCGUGCCAGCAGCCGCGGUAAUACGGAGGAUCCGAGCGUUAUCCGGAUUUAUUGGGUUUAAAGGGAGCGUAGAGGGGUUGGUAAGGCAGUUGUGAAAGGCUGGGGCUCAACCGCUGAAUUGCAGUUGAGACUGGCUGUCUUGAGUACAGUAGAGGUAGGCGGAAUUCGUAGUGUAGCGGUGAAAUGCUUAGAUAUUACGAAGAACUCCGAUUGCGAAGGCAGCUUACUGGACUGCAACUGACGUUGAGGCUCGAAAGUGUGGGUAUCAAACAGGAUUAGAUACCCUAGUAGUC